This 426-nucleotide ribosomal RNA is filed under the name uncultured bacterium. RNAcentral describes it as "partial 16S ribosomal RNA". It matches the Rfam family "Bacterial small subunit ribosomal RNA", at positions 354 to 796 of the family's 1533-position model. The record is from RNAcentral.
GUGAGGAAUUUUCCGCAAUGGGCGAAAGCCUGACGGAGCAAUGCCGCGUGAAGGAUGAAGGCCUAUGGGUUGUAAACUUCUUUUCUCAGAAAAGAAUUAUGACGGUAUCUGAGGAAUAAGCAUCGGCUAACUCUGUGCCAGCAGCCGCGGUAAGACAGAGGAUGCAAGCGUUAUCCGGAAUGAUUGGGCGUAAAGCGUCUGUAGGUUGUUUAAAAAGUAUUCUGUCAAAGAUUAGGGCUUAACCCUAGAUAGGCAGAAUAAACUUUUAAGCUAGAGUUUGGUAGAGGCAGAGGGAAUUCCCGGUGGAGCGGUGAAAUGCGUAGAUAUCGGGAGGAACACCAAAGGCGAAGGCACUCUGCUGGGCCAAUACUAACACCGAGAGACGAAAGCGAGGGGAGCAAAUGGGAUUAGAUACCCUGGUAGUCC